AGAGCGAACGCUGGCGGCAGGCCUAACACAUGCAAGUCGAGCGCCCCGCAAGGGGAGCGGCAGACGGGAGAGUAACACGUGGGAACGUACCCUUCAGUUCGGAACAACCCAGGGAAACUUGGGCUAAUACCGAAUACGUCCGUAAGGAGAAAGAUUUAUCGCUGAAGGAUCGGCCCGCGUCUGAUUAGCUAGUUGGUGAGGUAACGGCUCACCAAGGCUACGAUCAGUAGCUGGUCUGAGAGGAUGAUCAGCCUCACUGGGACUGAGACACGGCCCAGACUCCUACGGGAGGCAGCAGUGGGGAAUAUUGGACAAUGGGCGCAAGCCUGAUCCAGCCAUGCCGCGUGGAUGAUGAAGGCCUUAGGGUUGUAAAGUCCUUUCGACGGGGAAGAUAAUGACGGUACCGUAGAAGAGCCCGGCUAACUUCGUGCCAGCAGCCGC
Molecule: ribosomal RNA, 441 nt
Filed under: uncultured bacterium
Lineage: Bacteria
Description: SSU rRNA
Rfam family: Bacterial small subunit ribosomal RNA
Source: RNAcentral